AUUGAACGCUGGCGGCAGGCCUAACACAUGCAAGUCGAGCGGAUGAAGGGAGCUUGCUCCUGGAUUCAGGGCGGACGGGUGAGUAAUGCCUAGGAAUCUGCCUGGUAGUGGGGGAUAACGUCCGGAAACGGGCGCUAAUACCGCAUACGUCCUGAGGGAGAAAGUGGGGGAUCUUCGGACCUCACGCUCUCAGAUGAGCCUAGGUCGGAUUAGCUAGUUGGUGGGGUAAAGGCCUACCAAGGCGACGAUCCGUAACUGGUCUGAGAGGAUGAUCAGUCACACUGGAACUGAGACACGGUCCAGACUCCUACGGGAGGCAGCAGUGGGGAAUAUUGGACAAUGGGCGAAAGCCUGAUCCAGCCAUGCCGCGUGUGUGAAGAAGGUCUUCGGAUUGUAAAGCACUUUAAGUUGGGAGGAAGGGCAGUAAGUUAAUACCUUGCUGUUUUGACGUUACCAACAGAAUAAGCACCGGCUAACUUCGUG
RNAcentral lists this ribosomal RNA (483 nucleotides) under uncultured bacterium. RNAcentral describes it as "partial 16S ribosomal RNA". It matches the Rfam family "Bacterial small subunit ribosomal RNA", at positions 30 to 507 of the family's 1533-position model. The record is from RNAcentral.